Pongo pygmaeus (Bornean orangutan) is the source of this 1846-nucleotide long non-coding RNA. RefSeq lists it as uncharacterized. The record is from RefSeq and is a predicted model, not a curated record. The transcript is spliced from 4 exons. Lineage: Eukaryota; Metazoa; Chordata; Mammalia; Primates; Hominidae.
CAGUGCUGCUGCCAGCUAGCUGUGUCUUAUCAGUCUCUGCCCCUCCCACACCCUCCUAGCUCAGGGUGAACACAGCCAGGCUGAAGGAAGCCUCAUCUGAUGGACAGGACCUCGUCUGGAUUCAUCAGGAAGGAAGGAAGGAAGUCUGGCCCUCCCUGCGUGUGACCGUGGCCACUCCCAUGGUCAGCGGCCUCUGAGUAGGAGUGGGCGGGACCUGGCCCGCACUCCUGUCACUUUCAUCCAUGAAACCCGACCUUCCUUACUGCUCCUGGGCUCCCAAGUGGGUGUGCGACCACUCAACCUUCCAAGCUCCUCCCGAGUGGCAGCCCGGAGGAUGGAGCCCCACAGCCAUCAGGAGACCCCAGCAGGGCUCUCAUUGACAGAGAGAGGAGGAUGGCCUAGGCUGAGCAGCCUGACGCAGGCAGCAGGUGGUUCCUGGAAAACGUGAACUCACACAGCACUGCUUUUCUCUCUGGGGAGCCGCCGGCCACGGGUUUCGCCUCUUCAGGAAGGAACGCAUGGCCCAGGCUGACCAAGUCCUUCAGUGACGGCGUUGCACUCAGCAGGGUCCUAGAAGGGUCGGGCCCGGUCAGAACAGGCUCCACGGCUGUUAGACAGCGACCGUAGACAGCUCGCCUCCAACAGGAAUGAAGUGGAUUUGGAUGCUCACUGGCCGUUUGUGAGUGAAAAUGUCCCCAUUUUGUCUGUUGAGCACAUAAAGUGGUCCCAGAGCUGCCAGUUUCAGAACGAGCCAUGGAGGUCGUGAGUCACGCGAUGAUGCUGCGCUUUUGCCAUUUUCUCGUUCUUUGGAAAAAUGAUAUAAUAAAAAAGCUAUCUACCAGCAACCAGAGUCACGCAAUUCAAGGCGUACAUAACAGCCACCCGGUGGCGGCUGCACACAGCAUGGACGUUGAGAAGGACUGCGGCCCCACGCAAUGUGACACAGGUCGGACUCACCCCGCGCAGGGGCCGUGUGACUGCCCCAGCCCAAGCCUAGGAGAGGCAUUUAGGACACAGCAGCCAUUUUCUCCAACACCUGCUGGAAAAGAGAUCAUCCGUGGAAGAGAUGGCAUCCUGCUUUUGGCUUUAAAGUUUGGUUGCCCUAACUCUACGCCCUAUUCCGAGAACCAAGAGAUAUCGCCCCUGAAAGGCAGCCACAGUCUACUUCAAGAGGCCAAAAAUGUGAAAAAAAAAAUACUAUACGGGCACAUGAUCAAAUGCAAGCACUGGGAUGCAUAAGGGAGCAGACAGCCCGUUCUAAGGGGAGCCACAGUUGUACUAGUCACCGAACGACGCGGCCUGGUUGUGCCGGCCACUGUGCCUCUGAUACGCCCAUCACCUCCACCUGGCAGGCCCUUCCACCUGUGCCUCUGAUUCACCCAUCACCUUUACCUGGCAGGUCAUUCCACCUGUUCUGCACCUAGGAAACUCCCACACAGUCCUUAGAGUUGAGCUCAGUUGACACUUGCUCAGGAAAGCCCUCUCUCCUCUUCUACUCCUCUGUGAGACCUCCCCCUGGGUCCCGGCUCACUCAUGACUCUACUUUCUAAAUCACACAGGGUGCUGUGCCUCUGUCUCAGUGCGCUCAACUCCAGCUGGCCUCUGGGUCUGCUCCACAGCAGGCUCCACUUAGAAUGACAUGGAGCUGAGGAAGGAGGGCAGGACCAGGUUACUACACAACCUCCAAUGCCGAGGCAACCCCUUCAGACUUUGUCCUGGUGGCAAUAUAAAGUUAUCAAGGGAUUUUAAGGAGCAUGUGUGCAGAAUCAGAACUAUUUUUUGGUGAGGGGAGACAGCCUCACUCUGUCUUUGGGAUAAAAUUAAAACCUGUAACAGGCCUGUGGGG